RNAcentral lists this ribosomal RNA (1222 nucleotides) under metagenome. RNAcentral's name for it is "bacterial LSU rRNA". It matches the Rfam family "Bacterial large subunit ribosomal RNA", at positions 1581 to 2814 of the family's 2925-position model. The record is from RNAcentral.
GGCGUCGAAGUAGUGUAUGUCAUGCUUCCAAGGAAAGCUUGCACUGUCAUAAAUAAAAAUGCCUGUACCAUAACCGACACAGGUGGGUAGGUAGAGUAUACUAAGGGGCGCGAGAUAACUCUCUCUAAGGAACUCGGCAAAAUAACUCCGUAACUUCGGGAGAAGGAGUGCCUUAUUCUUAAGGUUGCAAUAACAAGAUCCAAGCAACUGUUUAUCAAAAACACAGGUCUCCGCUAAGUCGCAAGACGAUGUAUGGGGGCUGACGCCUGCCCAGUGCCAGAAGGUUAAAGAAGUUGGUUAGCUUUUGCGAAGCUGAUAACUGAAGCCCUGGUGAACGGCGGCCGUAACUAUAACGGUCCUAAGGUAGCGAAAUUCCUUGUCGGGUAAGUUCCGACCCGCACGAAAGGCGUAAUGAUUUGGAUACUGUCUCGGAGAGGGGCUCGGUGAAAUAGACUUGUCUGUGAAGAUGCGGACUACCUGCACCAGGACAGAAAGACCCUAUGAAGCUUUACUGUAACUUGAAAUUGAAAUUGGACUUUAUUCGCGCAGUAUAGGUGGGAGGCGUUGAUUGUAAUCUUGCGGGAUUAUUGGAGCCAUCAGUGAGAUACCACUCUUGUAAUGUUAGAUUUCUAACUUUGUAUCAUUAUCUGGUCAAAGAACAGUUUCAGGCGGGCAGUUUGACUGGGGCGGUCGCCUCCUAAACAGUAACGGAGGCGUACAAAGGUUUCCUCUGAACGGUUAGAAAUCGUAUCUAGAGUGUAAAGGCAUAAGGAAGCUUGACUGUGAGACCUACAAGCCGAGCAGGGACGAAAGUCGGUCUUAGUGAUCUGACGGUACUGAGUGGAAAGGCCGUCACUCAACGGAUAAAAGUUACUCUAGGAUAACAGGCUGAUCUCCCCCAAGAGUUCACAUCGACGGGGAGGUUUGGCACCUCGAUGUCGGCUCAUCGCAUCCUGGGGCGGUAGUACGUCCCAAGGGUUGGGCUGUUCGCCCAUGAAAGCGGUACGCGAGCUGGGUUCAGAACGUCGUGAGACAGUUCGGUCCAUAUCCGGUGUAGGCGUUAGAAUAUUGAGAGGAGCCUUCUUUAGUACGAGAGGACCGAGAAGGACAUACCUCUGGUGUACCAGUUAUCGUGCCAACGGUAAACGCUGGGUAGCUAUGUAUGGAGUGGAUAACCGCUGAAAGCAUCUAAGUGGGAAGCCCACCUCAAGAUAAGUAUUCU